This 2806-nucleotide ribosomal RNA is filed under the name Paenibacillus bouchesdurhonensis. Its description in RNAcentral is "bacterial LSU rRNA". It matches the Rfam family "Bacterial large subunit ribosomal RNA". Lineage: Bacteria; Bacillati; Bacillota; Bacilli; Caryophanales; Paenibacillaceae. The record is from RNAcentral.
UUAAGCUACUAAGAGCACACGGAGGAUGCCUAGGCGCUAGGAGCCGACGAAGGACGUGGCGAACAACGAAACUGCCUCGGGGAGCUGUAAGCAAGCUUUGAUCCGGGGGUGUCCGAAUGGGGAAACCCGGCUGUGGUAAUACGCAGUCACUCGCAUCUGAAUACAUAGGAUGCGUAGAGGCAUACCAGGGGAACUGAAACAUCUAAGUACCCUGAGGAAGAGAAAACAAGAGUGAUUCCGUCAGUAGCGGCGAGCGAACGCGGAACAGCCUAAACCAGAGAGCUUGCUCUCUGGGGUUGUGGGACGUCUCACAUGGAGUUACAAAGGAACAGGUUAGACGAACAGGUCUGGAAAGGCCGGCCGUAGAAGGUAAAAGCCCUGUAAUUGAAAGUCUGUUCCCUCCGAGACGGAUCCCGAGUAGUGCGGGGCACGUGAAACCCCGUAUGAAUCUGCCAGGACCAUCUGGUAAGGCUAAAUACUCCCUAGCGACCGAUAGUGAAGCAGUACCGUGAGGGAAAGGUGAAAAGCACCCCGGAAGGGGAGUGAAAAAGAACCUGAAACCGUGUGCUUACAAGAAGUCAGAGCNUCUCGAACACGACCGUUAAGCCCUCCAGCGCCGAUGGUACUUGGACCGCAGGGUCCUGGGAGAGUAGGACGUCGCCAAGCGCAGCCCAUUUUAUGGGUUGCCUUUUAAAUUUAACAUUACUUUUACGGGCCCUUAGCUCAGCUGGUUAGAGCGCACCCCUGAUAAGGGUGAGGUCGGUGGUUCGAGUCCACUAGGGCCCACCAUACAACUCCAUAUUCACUUAUACGUGCUUUGGAGUGGCGUAUGGGGCCAUAGCUCAGCUGGGAGAGCGCCUGCCUUGCAAGCAGGAGGUCAGCGGUUCGAUCCCGCUUGGCUCCACCAUAAAUGCUAUCUCUUCCAUAACUUACCGCUUGAUUGGUGAGUGUGGACUUGAUAAGAUAGUCUUCCGCCAGUAAAGUGGUGGUGGAACAAUUUGUUGAAAUGUUGAACGUCACCUUGCGUGAUCGUUACAAAAUUUCAUCAUUGCUGAUCAUUACAACCUCACGAAGUGAUGGCUGCGCAUGAUCGAGCAUUUGAUCCUUGAAAACUGGAUAACGAAACGAAAUUUGCGUUUUAGAAAUAUUCCUUUUCUGAUGAAUUUAAAUGAGCUGCAAAGCCAAAUUAAAAUUCAUCAUAGCUGAACUUGUGUCAAAACAAGUGAAGUGAAAAGUGGCUAGCGAAGGUUUUGGGACUGGAGAUCCUUUGUGAGGCGAUUUCUACCUUGUAUGAAUUUACUUGAUCAAGAAAUCGACGAACAACAGAGCGCCAGGCGCAAAACCGAAGCAUUAUGGUUAAGCUACUAAGAGCACACGGAGGAUGCCUAGGCGCUAGGAGCCGACGAAGGACGUGGCGAACAACGAAACUGCCUCGGGGAGCUGUAAGCAAGCUUUGAUCCGGGGGUGUCCGAAUGGGGAAACCCGGCUGUGGUAAUACGCAGUCACUCGCAUCUGAAUACAUAGGAUGCGUAGAGGCAUACCAGGGGAACUGAAACAUCUAAGUACCCUGAGGAAGAGAAAACAAGAGUGAUUCCGUCAGUAGCGGCGAGCGAACGCGGAACAGCCUAAACCAGAGAGCUUGCUCUCUGGGGUUGUGGGACGUCUCACACGGAGUUACAAAGGAACAGGUUAGACGAACAGGUCUGGAAAGGCCGGCCGUAGAAGGUAAAAGCCCUGUAAUNCUGCCCGGUGCUGGAAGGUUAAGGGGAGCGGUUAGGGAGUAAUCCCGAAGCUGUGAACCGAAGCCCCAGUAAACGGCGGCCGUAACUAUAACGGUCCUAAGGUAGCGAAAUUCCUUGUCAGGUAAAUUCUGACCCGCACGAAUGGCGUAACGACUUGGGCGCUGUCUCAACGAGAGAUCCGGUGAAAUUUUAAUACCUGUGAAGAUGCAGGUUACCCGCGACAAGACGGAAAGACCCCAUGGAGCUUUACUACAGCUUGAUAUUGAACUUUGAUGCGAUUUGUACAGGAUAGGUGGGAGCCUAGGAAUCCGGAGCGCCAGCUUCGGUGGAGGCAUCGUUGGGAUACCACCCUGAUCGUAUCGAAGUUCUAACCUAGGACCGUGACCCGGUUCGGGGACAGUGUCAGGCGGGUAGUUUGACUGGGGCGGUCGCCUCCUAAAGAGUAACGGAGGCGCCCCAAGGUUCCCUCAGAAUGGUUGGAAAUCAUUCGUAGAGUGCAAAGGCAAAAGGGAGCUUGACUGCGAGACUGACAAGUCGAGCAGGGACGAAAGUCGGGCUUAGUGAUCCGGUGGUACCGCAUGGAAGGGCCAUCGCUCAACGGAUAAAAGCUACCCUGGGGAUAACAGGCUUAUCUCCCCCAAGAGUCCACAUCGACGGGGAGGUUUGGCACCUCGAUGUCGGCUCAUCGCAUCCUGGGGCUGAAGUAGGUCCCAAGGGUUGGGCUGUUCGCCCAUUAAAGCGGUACGCGAGCUGGGUUCAGAACGUCGUGAGACAGUUCGGUCCCUAUCUGUCGUGGGCGUAGGAAAUUUGAGAGGAGCUGUCCUUAGUACGAGAGGACCGGGAUGGACGCACCGCUGGUGCACCAGUUGUUCCGCCAGGAGCAUAGCUGGGUAGCUACGUGCGGAUGGGAUAAACGCUGAAAGCAUCUAAGCGUGAAGCCCUCCUCAAGAUGAGAUUUCCCAAUUUAGUAAGACCCCUUGAAGACGACGAGGUUGAUAGGCCUGAGGUGGAAGUGCAGCAAUGUAUGGAGCUGACAGGUACUAAUCGGUCGAGGGCUUAUCCAA